RNAcentral lists this long non-coding RNA (1497 nucleotides) under Pan troglodytes (chimpanzee). RNAcentral describes it as "lincRNA". Lineage: Eukaryota; Metazoa; Chordata; Mammalia; Primates; Hominidae. The record is from RNAcentral.
GGGUAAAGCAAAGUCUUCAAGGGAAGAUAACAAAGGAUGAAACAAUGGUGUUGUGUGACUUCCUAGUGUGAAUCAUGGCAAUACAGUGAAAGAUAGUGAUUUACUGCUUUUGAGGGCGUGCAUGUAUAUGAUUAACGGAUGGAAGUGCAGGACUCCAAGAUUUACUUCCUUCCCUUUCCAGCAGAAUUACCUGAGAUGAGUAAAAUCUACUGGUGGAGUCACUCCAUUAUUCUUAUCUGUGGAGAUCUAGAUCUUGAUUUGAAAGUUUCUGAGAAAAUCUUCAGCUCAGACUUGAGGGUCAACUUUACCAGCUGAAGGAUCUGCAUUUACUGCUCAACUACAUCUAAUUUGAUGUCCUCUGCAGAUUUAAAAUGUGUGCCUUCUUUUCCAUCACCAGGUCAUCCCUGGGUUACUACUGAACAUCCUUCUCAAUUCCCCCUGACCCAUGGAUGGCUGUUCUCCAUUGUCUGUUUCACCAGAUGUCCUCAAAACAAACAGACAGAAGAAGGAAGUGGCUAAUGGAGCUGUGGAGUCCAAGUGUGACUGCCAAGAGGAAUCCAGCAAAGCCAAAAAGCCCAAGCAUGUAGCCCUGCCCGAAGCCCGCCACACGCAUGGAAAACCCAGAGGAAAUGAGUGAGGAUCAAUGGGAAGAAGGGAGCCAGCCAGGUUCGAUGCCUUCUCCAUCCGUCAGUGAGGGUGUGGAGAGCCUGCAGGCGUGUGCCUCCCUCUGUAACUUGCUAUUCCUUGUGUAAUGUCAAGUGGAAGUGUGAAGCACCACAAACUGCUCUGAGCAGAGCCCACUUCCCUUCACCCACAGAGAGCGUGAAGCAGUUACACCAACAUCAAUCAAGGAAAACCCACAGGCUGAGCUCACACGGUUGAAGCAGGAAGUUGAAGAUUUGUCCAGGAGCAGAUAGCUGAAGAGAGAGAGAGAGAAGAGAGAAUGGCUUACAGCUCAGGUCCUCUCUCCAUGCUUAGGAACCACUACAAAUGCUACUGCCUUGAGUCUCAUUUUGUUUCCCUCUGGAAACCACAUGUGUACCUUGUUUGCAGCAGUAUGGUUCUGGAGGCCAGAAGGCCAAAAUCAAAAGUAUGGGCAGGCUUGAUUUCUUCAGAAGACUCCAGCGGAGAACUGUGUCUCCUUGCUUCUGAUUCCACAUCUCCAUCCAUGGGCCACUGUUUCAGCAACCUCAGCCAGUGCAACACAACCUCAGCCAAGAAGAUUUGUUAGACUUUGGAUGGUGGAGACCUGUGCCUGCUGCUUCUCUCAUCUCCUGAUACCUAAUGCAUAGUGUUCAGGCACCGAGGAAGAGAACCAAUGGCAGAGGCCACAUGUGCAAGCAAGAUGGGAGUCUGGAGAGCCUCAGGCUAAAUCACGAGUGCUCAGCCCUCUCCUCUUUGUAAGGGCAACCGCGUCAUAUCUGCCAGCAUAGAACUGCUCUGUCCACAGCCCUAAAAUCUAAUACCUAGAACAAUAAAUGCACUUAAGUACGUCAA